CCUACGGGAGGCAGCAGUGAGGAAUAUUGGUCAAUGGACGCAAGUCUGAACCAGCCAUGCCGCGUGCAGGAAGACGGCUCUAUGAGUUGUAAACUGCUUUUGUACGAGGGUAAACGCAGAUACGCGUAUCUGUCUGAAAGUAUCGUACGAAUAAGGAUCGGCUAACUCCGUGCCAGCAGCCGCGGUAAUACGGAGGAUUCAAGCGUUAUCCGGAUUUAUUGGGUUUAAAGGGUGCGUAGGCGGUCGGAUAAGUUAGAGGUGAAAUCCCGAGGCUCAACUUCGGAAUUGCCUCUGAUACUGUUCGGCUAGAGAGUAGUUGCGGUAGGAGGAAUGUAUGGUGUAGCGGUGAAAUGCUUAGAGAUCAUACAGAACACCGAUUGCGAAGGCAGCUUACCAAGCUACUUCUGACGUUGAGGCACGAAAGCGUGGGUAGCAAACAGGAUUAGAUACCCGGGUAGUC
This 460-nucleotide ribosomal RNA is filed under the name uncultured bacterium. RNAcentral describes it as "partial 16S ribosomal RNA". It matches the Rfam family "Bacterial small subunit ribosomal RNA", at positions 338 to 795 of the family's 1533-position model. The record is from RNAcentral.